AUUGAACGCUGGCGGCAGGCCUAACACAUGCAAGUCGAGCGGAUGAAGGGAGCUUGCUCCUGGAUCCAGCGGCGGACGGGUGAGUAAUGCCUAGGAAUCUGCCUGCUAGUGGGGGAUAACGUCCGGAAACGGGCGCUAAUACCGCAUACGUCCUGAGGGAGAAAGUGGGGGAUCUUCGGACCUCACGCUAUCAGAUGAGCCUAGGCCGGAGUAGCUAGUUGGUGGGGUAAAGGCCUACCAAGGCGACGAUCCGUAACUGGUCUGAGAGGAUGAUAAGUCACACUGGAACUGAGACACGGUCCAGACUCCUACGGGAGGCAGCAGUGGGGAAUAUUGGGCAAUGGGCGAAAGCCUGAUCCAGCCAUGCCGCGUGUGUGAAGAAGGUCUUCGGAUUGUAAAGCACUUUAAGUUGGGAGGAAGGGCAGUAAGUUAAUACCUUGCUGUUUUGACGUUACCAACAGAAUAAGCACCGGCUAACUUCGUG
Molecule: ribosomal RNA, 484 nt
Filed under: uncultured bacterium
Lineage: Bacteria
Description: partial 16S ribosomal RNA
Rfam family: Bacterial small subunit ribosomal RNA
Source: RNAcentral